This 777-nucleotide long non-coding RNA is filed under the name Rattus norvegicus (Norway rat). Its description in RNAcentral is "long non-coding RNA NONRATT007508". The record is from RNAcentral. Lineage: Eukaryota; Metazoa; Chordata; Mammalia; Rodentia; Muridae.
CCACAGACCCCAGCAAGGACCUUGCAGAGGGAGGAGAGAGCUGCUGUUCUUUCUGGGAGGGUCUCCGAACGAUGAACCAGAGAGCAGACAGAAGACUGGGGCUCCCUUCUAGGGAUCUCCAGGCUGGUUCUCACAAACCCCUGAGCCCCUUGCCGCUUCCUCAUCCAGGCUGCCUCCUUCUAUUGCAACAAGAUGGGCUUCGAACCGCUGGCCUACAAGGGCCUGGAGACGGGCUCCCGGGAGGUGGUCAGUCAUGUCAUCAAGCAAGGGAAAAUUGUGUUUGUUCUCUGCUCUGCUCUCAAUCCCUGGAACAAAGGUGAGGGCAUCCCAUUGGGGUCAGCAUGACUCUGACAUUUGCAUGGGGCCAUGGGUUGGGGCAAGGGUGAGGCCGGAGCCCUGGAGGGGCUGGGACCGGGAUAAAGACUAGAAACUCCCCUGCCUGCAUUCUUCUGACGACCACAGAGAUGGGUGACCACCUGGUGAAGCAUGGUGAUGGCGUAAAGGACAUCGCAUUCGAGGUGGAAGACUGUGAACACAUUGUGCAGAAAGCCCGAGAACGGGGCGCUAAAAUUGUACGGGAGCCAUGGGUGGAGGAAGACAAAUUCGGGAAGGUGAAGUUCGCUGUGCUGCAGACGUAUGGAGAUACCACGCACACCCUGGUGGAGAAGAUCAACUACACCGGUCGUUUCUUACCUGGAUUCGAGGCCCCAACAUACAAGGACACCCUACUUCCAAAACUACCCAGCUGUAACCUGGAGAUCAUCGACCAUAUUGUAG